GCUGGGCAUGGUGGCGCGUGCCUGUAGUCCCAGCUACUGGGGAGGCUGAGGCAGGAGAAUUGCUUGAACCCGGGAGGUGGAGGUUGCAGUGAGCCGAGAUUGUGCCAUUGCACUCCAGCCUGGGUGACAGAGUGAGACUCUGACUCAA
This 148-nucleotide small RNA is filed under the name Macaca mulatta (Rhesus monkey). Its description in RNAcentral is "Metazoan signal recognition particle RNA (ENSMMUG00000065349.1)". The record is from Rfam by way of RNAcentral. RNAcentral also lists the same sequence under 2 other names. Lineage: Eukaryota; Metazoa; Chordata; Mammalia; Primates; Cercopithecidae.